AGCGAACGCUGGCGGCAGGCCUAACACAUGCAAGUCGAACGAACCUUUCGGGGUUAGUGGCGGACGGGUGAGUAACACGUGGGAACGUGCCUUUAGGCUCGGAAUAACUCAGGGAAACUUGUGCUAAUACCGAAUGUGUCCUUCGGGGGAAAGAUUUAUCGCCUUUAGAGCGGCCCGCGUCUGAUUAGCUAGUUGGUUGAGGUAAUGGCUCACCAAGGCGACGAUCAGUAGCUGGUCUGAGAGGAUGAUCAGCCACAUUGGGACUGAGACACGGCCCAAACUCCUACGGGAAGCAGCAGUGGGGAAUCUUGCGCAAUGGGCGAGAGCCUGACGCAGCCAUGCCGCGUGAAUGAUGAAGGUCUUAGGAUUGUAAAAUUCUUUCACCGGGGACGAUAAUGACGGUACCCGGAGAAGAAGCCCCGGCUAACUUCGUG
Molecule: ribosomal RNA, 434 nt
Filed under: uncultured bacterium
Lineage: Bacteria
Description: partial 16S ribosomal RNA
Rfam family: Bacterial small subunit ribosomal RNA
Source: RNAcentral